RNA transcript from Sapajus apella (tufted capuchin), 2450 nucleotides. It is a transcript of the gene named phosphate carrier protein, mitochondrial pseudogene, with no coding region annotated. Lineage: Eukaryota; Metazoa; Chordata; Mammalia; Primates; Cebidae. The record is from RefSeq and is a predicted model, not a curated record. The transcript has a single exon.
GCACUGCGCAGGUGCAGGUCGAAGCGCUGUGGGCCGGGUGGUCUGCUCUCGCCUGGACCGUUGGGUGGGCGGGCUCGCGGGGGAGGUUCAGGACAGGGUGUUCCUGCACCCAGCGCGGCCAUGGAUAACCCUGGCGGCCGCAGUGCGCUGCAGGCAAGAAGCGUGGGCGCAGGCGGCUGCAGGCCGUGGGCGGCAGCCGCGGAGGAGGCCAGCGUGGAGUACGGCUCCGCCCGGUACCUGCUGCUGUGCGGCUUGGGCGGGAUGCUGAGCUGCGGACUGACGCACACGGCCAUCGUGCCCCUGGACCUGGUCAAGUGCCGCAUGCAAGUGGAUCCCGGCCGGUACAAGGGCAUCCUGAGCGGCUUCGGCGUGACAGUGCGCGACGACGGGCUGCGCGGCCUGGCCCGCGGCUGGGCCCCGACCUUCUUCGGCUACUCUCUGCAGGGCUUCUUCAAGUUCGGCCUUUAUGAGGUCUUCAAGAUCCGCUACGCGGAGCUUCUGGGCCCAGAGAAGGCCUACGCAUGGAGAACCGGCCUGUACCUGGUGGCCUCGGCCAGCGCCGAGUUCUUCGCCGACAUCGCGCUGGCGCCCAUGGAGGCAGUCAAGGUCCGCGUGCAGACGCAGGCAGGCUACGCCAGCACCCUGCGGGCCGCGGCGCCCAGGAUGUAUGGCGAGGAGGGCCUGUGGGCCUUCUACAAGGGCGUGGCGCCGCUGUGGCUGCGGCAGAUCCCCUACACCAUGAUGAAGUUCGCCUGCUUCGAGCGCACGGUGGAGGCGCUCUACAAAUACGCGGUGCCCAAGCCCCAGAGCCAGUGCACCAAGGCCGAGCAGCUGGGCGUCACCUUCGUGGCCGGCUACAUCGCCGGCGUCUUCUGCGCUAUCGUGUCCCAUCCCGCUGACUCGGUGGUGUCUGUGCUGAACAAGGAGAAAGGCAGCACGGCCCUGGGCGUCCUCCGAAGACUGGGGUUCGUGGGCGUGUGGAAGGGCCUCUUUGCGCGCAUCCUCAUGAUCGGCACCCUAACGGCCCUGCAGUGGUUCAUCUACGACCUGGUCAAGGUGUAUCUCAAGCUGCCUCGCCCUCCCGUGGCACAAGCGCCCGAACCGCUGAAGAAGAAAAAGUAGGCAUGGAGUUGUGAGCCGUUGUAGACACAGUGGGUCCAGAUUUCCAUCAACUAGGGAAUCAGAUGCACACAGCGCUAGUGUGUAAGAUGUUAACAUUUUGGGGAGAGGUUACUUAAUAUGCAGUCUGAGUUCUCUUUAAAUGACUGAUUGCUUCUUUUUGGCAAUUCCAGAGGAUUGCAAACGUUUCGUUUGGGGGUUUGAACCAUUAUCUUUGGGGAGUUGGCAUGGUUGCUUUAAACUCAAUAGCUCUUCAGCAAUUAAAAGGAAAAAAUUCUUGACAGUAAGUAAUGUUAGGUAGUUUAGGGUCUCUAGGUGUUAUCUCCUUUGAUUCGCCCUUUCUGUAGAGAUUAUCCAAGCAUAACUACUGAACAGCCUACAAAUGAGGUUUUAAGGUCAGCACAACUAUAUGGACGGGGAACAAAGUGAGAUUCUGGUACGUGGUGUUCAUCUCAAUAGAAAUCCGGCACCUAUUGAAUAGAUGAAGGACUCGUCGCAUAUUUCCUGUUCAUGUCCAUUACAGGUAAAAAUUAUUAAACGUUAAAUUGUGACUUAUACUGCCUGGUAGCUUAGAAUGUAUUCGCUGUUUUCAAAGAGACAUGAGAAGAUCUGCAUUUUCUCCUUUUGCUUUGUCCCUUCUCUUCCUGAUGUUGCUGAUUAGAACAUAGCUCUCUCCAGGAAGUGCCACAAUUGGAUCAAUGUGGAAAGCCAGAAAGAGAUGAAGGGCAGGCUCUGGGAAUAAAUAUGUAAAGAAAAGCCUCUGUUCUCCAAAGAUUUCUUUUGUAUAACUCAGCUUUCAACAGCCAUACAUCCAAAGAAGACCAUACCCCCCUGACAUUUAAAAAAAAAAAAAGUGAAGAAAAAACCCCAAACCCUGCAAAUUCCAACUACUGUCUGUUGAAUAUUAAAAAAUGGUUUUGGUUACUUUGGAGGGAAAAUCUCACGUUAAGUAUAGUAAAUGCUCCACUUAAUUUGGUAGAUGUUUCAGUAAUCUUUAAAAUGGUUGAGAUUCAUAAAAUUUAUUGAAAUUAAAAGCAUGUUUUUGGGUCUCUGUAGCCUUCACAUCUCUGAUUGGGGAAAUUUUACAAUCAGUGAAAUUCUGUGGAUUAGAGAUGUUUGUAAAAUGUGUAUAAGAAAGUUCAAUAAGGCAUUUGAUAUAACUUACCAAAAUGUAACGUGAUUGCCUUAAAAAGUUAUUUAAAUUAGACUACAAACUUAGAAUAUGUUAAUGUUUAAACUUUGUAAUAGUAAACUGUUUAGCAGUUAACAGAAGUUUAAAAGUGUCUAGAUUUAAGUAUGUCUGAAUUGUCUUGGUUGAAUAAUAAAGAGAU